AAAAACAUCGGAAAUUCAACCACUAACAAAAUCUAAAAAAAAUACAAACCAUUAAAUAACAAUCGAAUUAAAUUAAUAAUAAAAAUAAAAUAAAAUAGCAAGAUACUAUAUAGAAAAAGAAAUUAAAUAAAAUGGUAAGCAUAACAAAUUUGAGUAUGAUUAUUUACACGUGUAAAAGUAUAGAUAUGGGUACUAAUAACCCAACUAAAUUAGUUAACACACAAAAAUCAACUAAUCGAAUAAAAAACAUCGGAAAUUCAACCACUAACAAAAUCUAAAAAAAAUACAAACCAUAUUAAAUUAAUAAUAAAAAUAAAAUAAAAUAGCAAGAUACUAUAUAGAAAAAGAAAUUAAAUAAAAUGGUAAGCAUAACAAACACAAAG
Molecule: long non-coding RNA, 383 nt
Filed under: Lathyrus oleraceus (garden pea)
Lineage: Eukaryota; Viridiplantae; Streptophyta; Magnoliopsida; Fabales; Fabaceae
Description: Pisum sativum (pea) long non-coding RNA (PSAT_LNC017631)
Source: RNAcentral